AUGAAGAAACUCCCGGGAGUGUCUUUGGUGAUUCUGUGGCUUCAUCUGGCCAGGGUGAGCAGCCAAAAAGGACAACAGAGUCUCCAGACCCUGAGCAUCCAGGAAGGUGAAAAUGCCACUGUGAACUGCAGUUAUGAAGUGACUAUAACCAACUUGCAGUGGUACAGGCAAGAUUCAGGGAGAGGCCUUACCCACCUAAUUUCAAUAUUUUCAAAUAAGAAAAAGGAAGAAGACGGGAGACUUCAAGUCACGCUUGACACCGCCAAAAAAAGCAGUUCCCUGCUCAUCCCGGCCGCCCGGGCUGCAGACUCUGCUGCUUACUUCUGCGCUGUGGACGCACAGUGCUCCCCAGGCACCUGCAGCCACGACACAAACCACCAGAGCUGCCUUUUAGCGGCCCCCUCCGUGGGCUGGGUUGGUGGUUAUGUCUUCCCAUGA
This is a non-coding RNA of Talpa occidentalis (Iberian mole), 438 nucleotides long. NCBI's taxonomy places the organism in Eukaryota, Metazoa, Chordata, Mammalia, Eulipotyphla, Talpidae. The record is from the annotation of a RefSeq genome assembly.